UACAGAGGUCUCAAGCGUUGUUCGGAUUCAUUGGGCGUAAAGGGUGCGUAGGUGGCGCCGUAAGUCAGGUGUGAAAUCUCGGGGCUCAACCCCGAAACUGCACUUGAUACUGCGGUGCUCGAGUACUGGAGAGGAGAUUGGAAUUUACGGUGUAGCAGUGAAAUGCGUAGAUAUCAUGAGGAAGACCAGUGGCGAAGGCGGGUCUCUGGACAGUUCCUGACACUGAGGCACGAAGGCCAGGGGAGCAAACGGG
Molecule: ribosomal RNA, 253 nt
Filed under: uncultured bacterium
Lineage: Bacteria
Description: partial 16S ribosomal RNA
Rfam family: Bacterial small subunit ribosomal RNA
Source: RNAcentral